This 748-nucleotide ribosomal RNA is filed under the name Amolops chunganensis (Chungan torrent frog). RNAcentral's name for it is "partial 12S ribosomal RNA". The stretch from base 1 to 498 matches the Rfam family "Bacterial small subunit ribosomal RNA", at positions 794 to 1533 of the family's 1533-position model. The record is from RNAcentral. Lineage: Eukaryota; Metazoa; Chordata; Amphibia; Anura; Ranidae.
GCCCAGCCGUAAACAAUUAACUUACACCAACCAGCGCCAGGGGAUACGAGCCAUGCUUAAAACCCAAAGGACUUGACGGUGUCCCAUUCCCCCUAGAGGAGCCUGUUCUAUAAUCGAUGAUCCCCGCUAUACCCGACCAUUCCUAGCUCCAGUCUGUAUACCUCCGUCGAAAGUCUACCCUAUGAACGCAAAGUAGGUCUAAUGGGACCCGCCCCAAUACGUCAGGUCAAGGUGCAACUCACGGGAUGGAAAGUAAUGGGCUACAAUUUCUAAUAUAGAAUAAACGAAAGACUAUGUGAAACCAUGGUCACGAAGGUGGAUUUAAUAGUAAAAAGAAAAUAGAGUGUUCUUUUUAACCCGGCUCUGGGACGCGUACACACCGCCCGUCACCCUCUUCAAUAGCUUUACUUCACGUUAAUAACUUCUUACCCGCGCCUUAGAAGAGGCAAGUCGUAACAUGGUAAGUGUACUGGAAAGUGCACUUGGACUACAACAAAAUAUAGCUUAAUAAAAGCCUUUCGCUUACACCGAGAAAAUGUCUGUUUAACCCAAACUAUUUUGAGCCUAAAAUCUAGCCCAUCUAACCCUCAUGAACCCAAUAACCAACCGCCCUCCAAACAAAACAUUUUAACAUUCUAGUACAGGUGAUCGAAAAAUUUAUAAGCGCUUCAGAUAUAGUACCGCAAGGGAAUUAUGAAAUAGAAAUGAAAUAACCUUAAAGCCCUUAAAUAGCAGAGUUUUCCCCUCG